RNAcentral lists this ribosomal RNA (349 nucleotides) under uncultured Pseudomonadota bacterium. RNAcentral's name for it is "bacterial SSU rRNA". It matches the Rfam family "Bacterial small subunit ribosomal RNA", at positions 30 to 381 of the family's 1533-position model. The record is from RNAcentral. Lineage: Bacteria; Pseudomonadati; Pseudomonadota.
AUUGAACGCUGGCGGUAUGCUUAACACAUGCAAGUCGAACGGUAACAGGCCUUCGGGCGCUGACGAGUGGCGGACGGGUGAGUAACGCGUAGGAAUCUGCCUCAUAGUGGGGGACAACGUGGGGAAACUCACGCUAAUACCGCAUACGCCCUACGGGGGAAAGCGGGGACCGUUCGGGCCUCGCGCUAUGAGAUGAGCCUGCGUUAGAUUAGCUAGUUGGUAGGGUAAAGGCCUACCAAGGCGACGAUCUAUAGCUGGUCUGAGAGGACGAUCAGCCACACUGGGACUGAGACACGGCCCAGACUCCUACGGGUGGCAGCCUGAGACGCCAAGGCACACAGGGGAUAGG